Molecule: ribosomal RNA, 484 nt
Filed under: uncultured bacterium
Lineage: Bacteria
Description: partial 16S ribosomal RNA
Rfam family: Bacterial small subunit ribosomal RNA
Source: RNAcentral
AUUGAACGCUGGCGGCAUGCUUUACACAUGCAAGUCGAACGGCAGCGCGGGCUUCGGCCUGGCGGCGAGUGGCGAACGGGUGAGUAAUGCAUCGGAACGUGCCCAGUAGUGGGGGAUAGCCCGCCGAAAGCCGGAUUAAUACCGCAUACGACCUGAGGGUGAAAGCGGGGGACCGAAAGACCUCGCGCUAUCGGAGCGGCCGAUGUCGGAUUAGCUAGUUGGUGGGGUAAAGGCUUACCAAGGCGACGAUCCGUAGCUGGUCUGAGAGGACGAUCAGCCACACUGGGACUGAGACACGGCCCAGACUCCUACGGGAGGCAGCAGUGGGGAAUUUUGGACAAUGGGGGAAACCCUGAUCCAGCCAUGCCGCGUGCGGGAAGAAGGCCUUCGGGUUGUAAAGCGCUUUUGUUUGGGAAGAAAGGCUCUGGGCUAAUACCCCGGGGGGAUGACGUUACCGGAAGAAUAAGCACCGGCUAACUACGUG